GUUUAAUGCCAGUAACAGAAACUUCCUGGUUGUCGCGCUUCACCUGCCGAAACUGAAGCAUUAAUUUACACAAAAGCACAAUCGCCUGCUACAGCAAACUGACUUUUCAUCGCUACAUCGCGUGCCCUGUGUGGAAGCGGAGAGAAAAACCAUCAUUUGAAGCAGAGAAAUCAGUGAGGCGGUGCUGGAGCAUUCAGAGAACACAGAGGAUGAGGGUGUUUCCCGGUGGGAAGGAUGAAGAGUUCCCCAGCUAGCCGCAGUCGGGACAUCGAGCGUCAGGCAGGAUAUCUGCGGCCGGAGCACUGCGUGCCGCCCCCUCCACGGACAUACUCUGCCGACGACAUGUGGUUCAUCCGGGACGGCUGCGGCAUCGUGUGCGGCGUGAUCACGUGGCUGCUGGUCUUCUACGCUGAGUUUGUGGUCGUCUUCGUAAUGCUGCUGCCAGUGAAGAAUGUGCUGUACAGCCUAAUUAAUGGCGCCUUGUUUAACGGACUGGCUUUCCUCGCCCUGGCCUCACACUUCAAAGCCAUGUGCACCGACCCGGGAGCCGUUCCAAAGGGAAACGCCACUAAAGAGUUUAUCGAGAGUCUGCAGCUCAAGCCUGGACAGGUGGUGUAUAAAUGUCCCAAAUGCUGCAGCAUCAAACCGGAUAGAGCUCAUCACUGCAGGUAAACACACACACAGCAUCGAGGACCGAGACAUCACUGUGUGAGGUUCAGUUCUGAGGCAGGUCUCACUGUAAGAGUGUGUUUUCUCUGUGUAGUGUGUGUAAGCGCUGUAUCAAGAAGAUGGACCAUCAUUGUCCCUGGGUCAACAACUGUGUGGGAGAGAGCAACCAAAAAUACUUUGUGCUUUUCACUGUGAGUAUCAUCCGGAUACUUUUUUUAUUAAUAAUUUGAAAAAGAUUUCAUUUUUAUAUUUUGUUUUCAUUUUAAUAUUAGUAUAUGUGAUAAAAAAUGCUUUAAUAUGUAAUAUUUUA
Molecule: long non-coding RNA, 979 nt
Organism: Cyprinus carpio (common carp)
Lineage: Eukaryota; Metazoa; Chordata; Actinopteri; Cypriniformes; Cyprinidae
Source: Ensembl